GGGCCGAUAGCUCAAUGGCAGAGCAGGGGACUCAUAAUCCCUUGGUUGCAGGUUCGAAUCCUGCUCGGCCCACCA
This 75-nucleotide transfer RNA is filed under the name Armatimonadota bacterium. RNAcentral describes it as "Armatimonadetes bacterium (anaerobic digester metagenome) tRNA-Ile". It matches the Rfam family "tRNA". From Rfam's summary of the family: Transfer RNA (tRNA) molecules are approximately 80 nucleotides in length. The record is from RNAcentral. Lineage: Bacteria; Bacillati; Armatimonadota.